Molecule: long non-coding RNA, 2603 nt
Organism: Anolis carolinensis (green anole)
Lineage: Eukaryota; Metazoa; Chordata; Lepidosauria; Squamata; Anolidae
Source: Ensembl
AAAGUGGGGUUUAUGAGUGUGGUGGAGAGUCAUUUUUUCGGGGCUUUAAAGCAGAGACUGAAUGGCCAUCUGUCCAAAGUGCUUUGAUUGUGUCUUCCUGCAUAUCAGAGGGUUGGAAUAGAUGGCCUUUAUGAUUUCUUUUUAUUUAUUUACAUCAUUUCUAUCCCAACUUUCUCACCCGAGGGGACUCUUCCAACUGUAUGAUUAUGAUCUCUUCCAACUUUAUGAUUCUAUGAAAGCUGGCAAUCUAACUUCAGUUUAAAGACUUACAGAGAAAGAGAGUCCACCACUCUCCAAGACAUUUCUGUUCCAUUGUUCAACAGCUCUUACAUCAAAGAAGCUCUUCCCAAUGUUUAGGUGGAAUCUAUUUCAUUUUUAUUUAAAUCCAUUGGUGCGUAUUAUAAUCUUUGAAGCAGAAGAGAACAAGUUUGCUCAAUCUUCUACAAGUCAGCUAUCCCGUCACCUCAAAAUAUCCUCCAAGUUUAACACAUCCUAAGUUGUUUCUCAGAAAGCUUGAUUUUCAAAUGUUUUACUUCUUUGAUCACCCUUCUCUAGACACCUUCCAGCUUGUCCAUAUCCUGCUAGAAUUCUGGAGCCCAGAACUAGAAACAGGGAUAUUUCAGGUUGCCACCGAAAAUGGUCUGCUGAGAUAUUCCCAAGCAUGCCUUGCAGACGCGCAAGUAUUAAAGGAAGGCUCAUUAUGCUGACUUAAUUUAAGACACUAGCGCAUUUUCAAGGCACACAAGGCUUAUCUAACGGCUACAAACCAGAGCUAUUUGUAACCGUUAAAGACAUAAUCAAAGGGGGACUAACUUAAAUGUGAGGAGAGAGAACAAAAAGCAUUUAUAAGAUCUAUUAAAAAAGAGCAAGAAGAAAAGAACUCUAUAAUUCACUGCUUGUUAUUUAUUUAUUCCCGGCACGACAGGUCUUGCCAUUAAACUAGCUGGAGGAAAAGCCUGUUCCAUCUUUGGGCUUCUGUGUGAAGUCCUCAUGUUGUAUUUUGUAUAUAUUACUUUUCAUUACUGCCACUAACCAUUUCUUACUCUUCAUUUUUGUCAUGUGCUUUAUCUCACUUACUUCCAAAUAAAUAUAAGUAAAAUCAGAAAGGGAACAUUCCUAGGAUAGUUCCCUAAGAAGUACAGCUUUGAUUUGCCUACAUCUGACCCUGCCUUUGAGGGCAUUAUCUUCAUCAUGAGCAGCCCUUGGGGACAUCAGCUUCUCUAUGAGGUCAGUGGUUCCCUUGAGACAUGGCAAGAACACUUUUCCUCUAGGUCAGUGGUUCUCAACCUGUGGUAACAUAGCAGCUCUUGAAUAUUUUCUUUAAAAACCCUGAAUAUCCCUUACCUAGAUGACCCUUACUCAAAAUCUUGUUUUUCCAUGAAAGUGUUGACAGGACAUGUUCUGCCUGACAUUUGUUUUUUGCUCACAAUGUAAGGUCAUGCAAACCGCAGUAACGAUUUGGCUUGCUGGAUAAUGCAUACGUGAGAUGAGCUAUGAACAUGUCAACUGAGGAUAGUGCAUACGUGGAACAAACUAUGGAUACUUCACCUGGUGUGAUGAGUAAUGAGUUAUAUAAGUUACAAGGCAACUAUGCAUGUCCAAAAGGAUUAUAAUGAAAUGGCAGACAAAGGUUUGAGGAAAUGAGACAAAGAGAGUUCCGGUGGCUGUAGAAAAAAUGACGUUUAUUCUCAGUGACCAGUGAGAAUAUAGCAAUAAGAAAAAGGAGACCUUCUCCUGUAAUCAGGAAAGCGAAGGUGGCAGACAAAGAAACACAGAUCCUUAUAUACUAUUUUGGUCUACCUCCAUCUAUGUCACAUAGGUAUUAUCAAUCACCAAUUAGUGUCAAAAAAGUCUUACUUGGCACUUAACUAAAAGCUAUCUUUGCAUUUUCCUAAAAUAUAGACUAAUUCAAGACCUCUGACCCUCCAUUAGCCUGAUCUCUGGAAUUCUCAUCUCAUCCAUUAGGACUCCCCCUCGUCCUCCAUUAAUUAAGGAAUUUCCUCCCUACCUUAGCUUGUCAGAGAGAGUAAUUAGUAUUCCCCCCUGGCGCCAGGUCCUAUCUUGACAUCCCAAAAAGCUUUAAUUUGUCUUUUGUCCAUUAGCUUAUCUACUCUUGUUGAUACUUAACAUACGUCCCUGGCACUCAGGGUGAACUUUGGUCUUGCUUUUGCUGAGCAGAGUGUAUUUUUGGGCUAUAGGCCUACAAUUCUGCUUAUGAUUACAUUUUCCUAUUUCUAUUUCUUAACAUGAUUACAUUCAAUAUAUAGUUUCCAAUACAAGUAUUAUAUUUUCCCAAUAAACCUUCAUCAAUAAUAGUCAGCAAAUUCCAUUGUCAGUUAGCUUUUUGCACAUGCUUGUGUAAAAUUGUAUAAAUUGGAAAGCCACUACAAGCAAGGUGUGGCAUUGUUUUUUCUGGACAUUAGCAAACAUUGUCACCUGUUCCUGGCCAAAAGUAAACUAUCUUGAAGACAACUUCUGUUGUCAGUCUGCUUUCUUCACUCACGUCCAAACGAAAUUCUGCAACAAAUUCUGGUGCAUAAUAAACUCUUACUACUCUUUUCCACCUAAAUCCAAGGAAGCCCCUCGGAUUCUGGACCAGUGUC